CCUACGGGGGGCAGCAGUGAGGAAUAUUGGUCAAUGGGCGCGAGCCUGAACCAGCCAAGUCGCGUGAGGGAAGACGGUCCUAUGGAUUGUAAACCUCUUUUGUCGGGGAGCAAAAGACGCCACGCGUGGCGUUCCGAGAGUACCCGAAGAAAAAGCAUCGGCUAACUCCGUGCCAGCAGCCGCGGUAAUACGUAGGGGGCAAGCGUUAUCCGGAUUUACUGGGUGUAAAGGGAGCGUAGACGGCGGGGCAAGUCUGGAGUGAAAGGCCGGGGCCCAACCCCGGGACCGCUCUGGAAACUGCCCGGCUGGAGUGCGGGAGAGGUAAGCGGAAUUCCUAGUGUAGCGGUGAAAUGCGUAGAUAUUAGGAGGAACACCAGCGGCGAAGGCGGCUUACUGGACCGUGACUGACGUUGAGGCUCGAAAGCGUGGGGAGCAAACAGGAUUAGAUACCCGGGUAGUC
This 460-nucleotide ribosomal RNA is filed under the name uncultured bacterium. RNAcentral describes it as "partial 16S ribosomal RNA". It matches the Rfam family "Bacterial small subunit ribosomal RNA", at positions 338 to 795 of the family's 1533-position model. The record is from RNAcentral.